RNAcentral lists this microRNA precursor (199 nucleotides) under Dichanthelium oligosanthes. RNAcentral describes it as "MIR1435 microRNA precursor family". It matches the Rfam family "MIR1435 microRNA precursor family". The record is from Rfam by way of RNAcentral. Lineage: Eukaryota; Viridiplantae; Streptophyta; Magnoliopsida; Poales; Poaceae.
UUGAUUUGUCUUAAGUCAAACUUGUCCAACUUCGACUAAGUUUAUAGAAAAAUAUAACAUUAUCUAUAUUAUCAAAUAUAUGCACUAUCAAAAUAUAUUCGAUGGUUGAUUCAAUGUAACAAAUUUGGUACUGUAAAUAUUGUUAUAUUUUUUAUAAACUUGGUCAAAGUUAAACAUGUUUGACUUAGGAUAAAUCAAA